CCUACGGGAGGCUGCAGUGAGGAAUAUUGGUCAAUGGGCGAGAGCCUGAACCAGCCAAGUCGCGUGAAGGAAGACGGUCCUAUGGAUUGUAAACCUCUUUUGCCGGGGAGCAAAAAGCGGUACGUGUACCGCAUCGAGAGUACCCGGAGAAAAAGCAUCGGCUAACUCCGUGCCAGCAGCCGCGGUAAUACGGAGGAUGCGAGCGUUAUCCGGAUUUAUUGGGUUUAAAGGGUGCGCAGGCGGCGGGUUAAGUCAGCGGUAAAAUUUCGGGGCUCAACCCCGACAAGCCGUUGAUACUGGCGUGCUAGAGUGGGCGAGAAGUAUGCGGAAUGCGUGGUGUAGCGGUGAAAUGCAUAGAUAUCACGCAGAACUCCGAUUGCGAAGGCAGCAUACCGGCGCCCAACUGACGCUCAGGCACGAAAGUGUGGGUAUCGAACAGGAUUAGAUACCCGUGUAGUC
Molecule: ribosomal RNA, 459 nt
Filed under: uncultured bacterium
Lineage: Bacteria
Description: partial 16S ribosomal RNA
Rfam family: Bacterial small subunit ribosomal RNA
Source: RNAcentral